This 85-nucleotide non-coding RNA is filed under the name Gynuella sunshinyii YC6258. Lineage: Bacteria; Pseudomonadati; Pseudomonadota; Gammaproteobacteria; Oceanospirillales; Saccharospirillaceae. The record is from RNAcentral.
UGUUUUGGCAGGCCGGGCGGGCCAGCUUCGGCUGGACCGCUUCCAGUAGAGCGGUUGUGAUGACCCGUUUCGGCCUGCCCCCAAA